GGAGAGGUGUCUGAGUGGUCGAAGGUGCCGCUCUCGAAAAGCGGUGUACCCGCAAGGGUACCGAGGGUUCGAAUCCCUCCCUCUCCGCCA
Molecule: transfer RNA, 90 nt
Filed under: Candidatus Magasanikbacteria bacterium CG11_big_fil_rev_8_21_14_0_20_43_7
Lineage: Bacteria; Candidatus Magasanikiibacteriota
Description: tRNA-Ser
Rfam family: tRNA
About the family: Transfer RNA (tRNA) molecules are approximately 80 nucleotides in length. Their secondary structure includes four short double-helical elements and three loops (D, anti-codon, and T loops). Further hydrogen bonds mediate the characteristic L-shaped molecular structure. tRNAs have two regions of fundamental functional importance: the anti-codon, which is responsible for specific mRNA codon recognition, and the 3' end, to which the tRNAs corresponding amino acid is attached (by aminoacyl-tRNA synthetases). tRNAs cope with the degeneracy of the genetic code in two manners: having more than one tRNA (with a specific anti-codon) for a particular amino acid; and 'wobble' base-pairing, i.e. permitting non-standard base-pairing at the 3rd anti-codon position.
Source: RNAcentral